GGGCACGGUGCAGCGCCGCCUCCCGUUCGCCUCUGCGCCUGGCCCGGCGACUGCGGGCGCUGCGGUCCACUGGGUCCGCCUCUUCCCGGCAUGGGUUUCUGCCCAGCUCACCCGCUGUCAGCUGGGGUCCUGCUCUGGUGGGAGGAAGAGGCUCAGACGCUUCCCUGCCCUCUCGCCUCAACCACCUCGAGGCAGCGGCUCCCAGGAUGUGCACUUUGACGACUAAAGCUGAGCCGGCGCCGCCACGACCUUGGGCGGGUGGUCGGCCUCUGCCCUGAGCAGGAAGUAGAAAGUCUCAGCAGACCCUUCCUGAGGGCCGAGCAACAGUGUAGUGGCGUAUUCCACAUAGCAAACAGGGUGAAAAUGGAAAUUCACCUGUGGAACUCACUGGCCAUUGUGGAAGAAACAUUUUCUGAAGCUCAGAGGGACACCUUGUAUUGCUGGAUGAUAAAAACAGGAGCAAAGUGAUGAAGUGCUGACAAGGCAACAAUAGAACAUGAGAGAUUCACUGCUGUGUAGGAAGAGAUCUUCGGUGACCAUGUAGCCUGAAGCUCUCAUUUUGUCAUCGAGGGACACCAAAACUCAGAACAGAUAGAGUCUUGCUCUGUGACCCAGGCUUGUGUGCAGCGGUACGAUAUUGGCUCACUGCGACCUCCACCUCCCAGGUUCAAGCAAUUCUCCUGCCUCAGCCUCCCAAGUAGCUGGGAUUACAGAUGAGGUCUCCAAGGGACCAGAUGGAGAACAGAUGCAACCACACUGAAGUCAGAAUCGCAGCUUGCCUCCGACACCUGACGCUUCACUGUUGGCGAGGCCCACUAUGCCUCGCUCUCCCCCUGUAAUGAGUUCUAUCCCAGAGGCUCCUAUACCCUUUAGAAAUAAACUGCUCAGGCAGCCCAACCAGUUCAUCCAAGAGGCCUGGAACCACAGCAGCGUCGACAGCUGAGAUGAGAGUUGGUCCCUGAUCUGAUACAGAGCCUGGGUUUAGCUUUGAUUUCUCUCUUCCUAGGCAAGAUCUUUAGAGAAUAACUUUUUGUGCCUGGCCAUCUCCUGCUCUUUUCUCAACCCAAAAGGGCUAUGUUCACCUAAAGAGGAAAAGCAAGAAGGCUUCCUGGGCUCGGGAGGUCAGGGCUGGAAAGAACUGCUCACCAUUUCUGAGCCGAUGAGGACUCACCUGGGCUCCUCACUGGUCAGGGAACUGUGGCCCAGCCGCAGAGUGAUUGCUUUGUCAAGAAGGGAAACAUUUACCUUUCCUUCUUCCCUCUGCUCUCUCCUAAUUAACAAUUAAAUGGAAGGAGUUGAAAAGACAUGUCAGAGACUUCAAUCUCCUCCCGGCCUGAGGAUGAAGGGGGCUCGAACCUGAAUGUUCUCUUCGCUGUGGCCAGAACCUAGGGGGCUGGGGUUGCUGCCAGCUCGACUGGAGGCCUGCUUCCAGCCCCAGGCUGUGGUGAGGGGCCUCACAGAUUUCACAAACAGGAGGGCGGCUGACCAAGCGCCAAACUAUUUAGACAAACACACACCCUCCCUUCCCGCCAGAGUUUGGGCUGAUUUCUCCCAAUGCUAAUGAACAGCUCAUAAGUAUUAAUAGACUCCUUGGCACCUAGGAGUCAGGCAGAGUAACUUCCAGUGUGAAUUUUGGCCAAGGACCCUGAUGCAGCCUCAGGAUCUUCCAAGCCCCUGUUGAGUCCAGGGGGCAUGAGACACACAGGGAGGCUGGGGCUGCUCCCAGGAAGCAGGCUCACAAGAGCCAGACAGGCUCCCACAGACAGCUUUUAGGUCACAGAAACCUCUGCCUGCCAGGUAGGCAUGAACACAGAAACCCUCCCAAAUCCUCAGACUGUGGAGCACACUCCAGGUGAGCCAGGAUCAAUCCCUGGUCUCAGAGAACACUUAGAUGGGGGUGAAAAGCAGGAACUGAGAGCUUCCCACCCAGCACCUGUCCCUGCUACCAGCUAAACCUGUGUCGGUCAGUGCAGGAAUUGUACAGGUGAUGCUCUGAGCCUGUGCUGAGGCCAUGUAUGGACUGAGGAAACCUCACUGUGUGUAUGUAAAGUUAAUUCAAACCUAUUUCCCUGAGUGCUUACAUAUUUUCAUAAGGAAAGUUCUGUUAGGAGAGCUGCCUGAAACAACACCUCUGCCUGUGCUCCCACUUUCUCCCGCUGGUGUGGGGAGGAGAGGCUGACAUCGCUGGGUCCACGUUCCUCUGCCCUGGGUGGGGUAUUAAUGCUGCCAUUCCCACGCUGCCUGCUGUUUCCCCUCAUCCUCAGGAGGGCUGGUCUCUGUGCUGCAGGCAGCUCCACCAGGCCUGGGAGCAUGACACCGUCUGCCAAUGCCUUGCCCAGGUCCACUGGCCUCACCCUUCCGCAGGCCUGCGCCUUCUGUGACUCUCUGCCUCAGCAAUUUCUCUGGAUUUCUUUGUCCUCAGGAAUGUGCUGGGGCCACAGGCAGGUCAGGCCAGGCUUUCUGGGGAGUGAAUGCUCUCUGCCAGUGGCGGAUGGAACUGGUAGACACGUCCCCCGGAUUCCUCGCCUGCAAGUGGGAUGGUGCCAGGAAAGUUCUACACCAUCCUUCCCAGGUCCCAGGAGGACAAGCACAGUUGUCCACAAGUGUGGAUCAGUGUUAAAAGUGCUUCAUGGAGAAAUGGAGGCCUGAAAGCGACUCUGAAGGAGGAGUGGGGCUCAGCAAACAGCAGACGAGUUUCAAUCCAAGCACCCAUUACCCCCCUAACACACGGCAUACGUGCAUCUCAUCUCCUCCUGUGUCGCUAAGAAGCUACCCAUAUGUCUGUCAUUAAUUCUCCAGAAUCCUUGGACACACCCCUCUGCAGAGCUUUCUAACAGGAAAUACAAGUCUCAGAUUUUUUUUUAAGUUAAAAUUGAGUGCAGCACUCAUACCUUUCUUCGAGCAUGAACCGUCAAUCAACACUGCCUCAUGAGCUACUGCUCUCCUGCUCUUUGAAAAGACAAAUCCUUAUUUCUUUGUAGUGAUCCAGAAGGCAGUGGGAAGAAUGACAGGUGCUUGGUUAUCUUCAAUUUAAUCUCUACCUUUCAAUGGGGCUAGUGCAAGCUAGGGCCAUUUUACUGCACCCAAAGGAAUUUAAGACAUUUCUAUUAUCUCUAAAGAAUCCAGAUUAACAUGCCUUCUUGGUGGGCAGGGAGACCAGCUAUGAAUUCUAGGAUCUCAAUUCAAAUGCUUUUGAAUUCUUCCUGCUUGUUCAGUUAAUUACAUAUAUGUCACCACAAUCUUGCUUUUUUUUUUCUAUGCUUCUAAUUUUCUCUGAAACUAUAACAUUAUUUUAGGGGUUAAUAAAUUUGUAAUUGGAAAAA
Molecule: long non-coding RNA, 3323 nt
Organism: Homo sapiens (human)
Lineage: Eukaryota; Metazoa; Chordata; Mammalia; Primates; Hominidae
Gene: SLC44A3-AS1
Product: SLC44A3 antisense RNA 1
Source: Ensembl